This 498-nucleotide ribosomal RNA is filed under the name Triticum aestivum (bread wheat). RNAcentral describes it as "partial small subunit ribosomal RNA". Lineage: Eukaryota; Viridiplantae; Streptophyta; Magnoliopsida; Poales; Poaceae. The record is from RNAcentral.
AUGCGAGCUAUGCUAGAAGCUGAGGUUACCAGAGAAGAAGUUAAGGCGGCGCUUGAUCAUAUUGGAGAUCUCAAGGCUCCGGGCCCGGAUGGAAUGCCCUCAAUUGUCUACAAGAAGCAUUGGCAUUUUAUGGGGGACAAAGUUGUUGAUGAGGUGCUUGCGGUACUUAAUGGAGGGGCUUUACCCGAGGGUUGGAAUGACACUGUGGUGGUCUUAAUCCCAAAAGUGAAGAAUCCCAGUAGAAUUAAGGAUCUCCGCCCGAUUAGCUUGUGUAAUGUGAUAUAUAAGCUAGUCUCCAAGGUUAUAGCGAACCGUCUGAAGUUAGUGCUACCGGACAUCAUAUCACUUAACCAGAGUGCUUUCGUCCCCGGCAGGCUCAUCACUGACAAUGUCCUUGUAGCUUAUGAGGUGUCACACCACUUACUGAACAAGAAAAAGGGCAACGAGGGGAUUGCAGCAGUGAAAGCAGACAUGAGCAAAGCAUAUGACAGGGUGGAA